This 253-nucleotide ribosomal RNA is filed under the name uncultured bacterium. Its description in RNAcentral is "partial 16S ribosomal RNA". It matches the Rfam family "Bacterial small subunit ribosomal RNA", at positions 524 to 776 of the family's 1533-position model. The record is from RNAcentral.
UACAGAGGGGGCAAGCGUUGUUCGGAAUUACUGGGCGUAAAGGGCGCGUAGGCGGCCCGCUAAGUCGAACGUGAAAUCCCCGGGCUUAACCCGGGAACUGCGUCCGAUACUGGCAGGCUUGAAUCCGGGAGAGGGAUGUGGAAUUCCAGGUGUAGCGGUGAAAUGCGUAGAUAUCUGGUGGAACACCGGUGGCGAAGGCGGCAUCCUGGACCGGUAUUGACGCUGAGGCGCGAAAGCGUGGGGAGCAAACAGG